Molecule: ribosomal RNA, 2904 nt
Filed under: Escherichia coli
Lineage: Bacteria; Pseudomonadati; Pseudomonadota; Gammaproteobacteria; Enterobacterales; Enterobacteriaceae
Also listed under: 1 other name
Description: 23S ribosomal RNA
Rfam family: Bacterial large subunit ribosomal RNA
Source: RNAcentral
GGUUAAGCGACUAAGCGUACACGGUGGAUGCCCUGGCAGUCAGAGGCGAUGAAGGACGUGCUAAUCUGCGAUAAGCGUCGGUAAGGUGAUAUGAACCGUUAUAACCGGCGAUUUCCGAAUGGGGAAACCCAGUGUGAUUCGUCACACUAUCAUUAACUGAAUCCAUAGGUUAAUGAGGCGAACCGGGGGAACUGAAACAUCUAAGUACCCCGAGGAAAAGAAAUCAACCGAGAUUCCCCCAGUAGCGGCGAGCGAACGGGGAGCAGCCCAGAGCCUGAAUCAGUGUGUGUGUUAGUGGAAGCGUCUGGAAAGGCGCGCGAUACAGGGUGACAGCCCCGUACACAAAAAUGCACAUACUGUGAGCUCGAUGAGUAGGGCGGGACACGUGGUAUCCUGUCUGAAUAUGGGGGGACCAUCCUCCAAGGCUAAAUACUCCUGACUGACCGAUAGUGAACCAGUACCGUGAGGGAAAGGCGAAAAGAACCCCGGCGAGGGGAGUGAAAAAGAACCUGAAACCGUGUACGUACAAGCAGUGGGAGCACGCUUAGGCGUGUGACUGCGUACCUUUUGUAUAAUGGGUCAGCGACUUAUAUUCUGUAGCAAGGUUAACCGAAUAGGGGAGCCGAAGGGAAACCGAGUCUUAACUGGGCGUUAAGUUGCAGGGUAUAGACCCGAAACCCGGUGAUCUAGCCAUGGGCAGGUUGAAGGUUGGGUAACACUAACUGGAGGACCGAACCGACUAAUGUUGAAAAAUUAGCGGAUGACUUGUGGCUGGGGGUGAAAGGCCAAUCAAACCGGGAGAUAGCUGGUUCUCCCCGAAAGCUAUUUAGGUAGCGCCUCGUGAAUUCAUCUCCGGGGGUAGAGCACUGUUUCGGCAAGGGGGUCAUCCCGACUUACCAACCCGAUGCAAACUGCGAAUACCGGAGAAUGUUAUCACGGGAGACACACGGCGGGUGCUAACGUCCGUCGUGAAGAGGGAAACAACCCAGACCGCCAGCUAAGGUCCCAAAGUCAUGGUUAAGUGGGAAACGAUGUGGGAAGGCCCAGACAGCCAGGAUGUUGGCUUAGAAGCAGCCAUCAUUUAAAGAAAGCGUAAUAGCUCACUGGUCGAGUCGGCCUGCGCGGAAGAUGUAACGGGGCUAAACCAUGCACCGAAGCUGCGGCAGCGACGCUGAUGCGUUGUUGGGUAGGGGAGCGUUCUGUAAGCCUGCGAAGGUGUGCUGUGAGGCAUGCUGGAGGUAUCAGAAGUGCGAAUGCUGACAUAAGUAACGAUAAAGCGGGUGAAAAGCCCGCUCGCCGGAAGACCAAGGGUUCCUGUCCAACGUUAAUCGGGGCAGGGUGAGUCGACCCCUAAGGCGAGGCCGAAAGGCGUAGUCGAUGGGAAACAGGUUAAUAUUCCUGUACUUGGUGUUACUGCGAAGGGGGGACGGAGAAGGCUAUGUUGGCCGGGCGACGGUUGUCCCGGUUUAAGCGUGUAGGCUGGUUUUCCAGGCAAAUCCGGAAAAUCAAGGCUGAGGCGUGAUGACGAGGCACUACGGUGCUGAAGCAACAAAUGCCCUGCUUCCAGGAAAAGCCUCUAAGCAUCAGGUAACAUCAAAUCGUACCCCAAACCGACACAGGUGGUCAGGUAGAGAAUACCAAGGCGCUUGAGAGAACUCGGGUGAAGGAACUAGGCAAAAUGGUGCCGUAACUUCGGGAGAAGGCACGCUGAUAUGUAGGUGAAGUCCCUCGCGGAUGGAGCUGAAAUCAGUCGAAGAUACCAGCUGGCUGCAACUGUUUAUUAAAAACACAGCACUGUGCAAACACGAAAGUGGACGUAUACGGUGUGACGCCUGCCCGGUGCCGGAAGGUUAAUUGAUGGGGUUAGCGCAAGCGAAGCUCUUGAUCGAAGCCCCGGUAAACGGCGGCCGUAACUAUAACGGUCCUAAGGUAGCGAAAUUCCUUGUCGGGUAAGUUCCGACCUGCACGAAUGGCGUAAUGAUGGCCAGGCUGUCUCCACCCGAGACUCAGUGAAAUUGAACUCGCUGUGAAGAUGCAGUGUACCCGCGGCAAGACGGAAAGACCCCGUGAACCUUUACUAUAGCUUGACACUGAACAUUGAGCCUUGAUGUGUAGGAUAGGUGGGAGGCUUUGAAGUGUGGACGCCAGUCUGCAUGGAGCCGACCUUGAAAUACCACCCUUUAAUGUUUGAUGUUCUAACGUGGACCCGUAAUCCGGGUUGCGGACAGUGUCUGGUGGGUAGUUUGACUGGGGCGGUCUCCUCCUAAAGAGUAACGGAGGAGCACGAAGGUUGGCUAAUCCUGGUCGGACAUCAGGAGGUUAGUGCAAUGGCAUAAGCCAGCUUGACUGCGAGCGUGACGGCGCGAGCAGGUGCGAAAGCAGGUCAUAGUGAUCCGGUGGUUCUGAAUGGAAGGGCCAUCGCUCAACGGAUAAAAGGUACUCCGGGGAUAACAGGCUGAUACCGCCCAAGAGUUCAUAUCGACGGCGGUGUUUGGCACCUCGAUGUCGGCUCAUCACAUCCUGGGGCUGAAGUAGGUCCCAAGGGUAUGGCUGUUCGCCAUUUAAAGUGGUACGCGAGCUGGGUUUAGAACGUCGUGAGACAGUUCGGUCCCUAUCUGCCGUGGGCGCUGGAGAACUGAGGGGGGCUGCUCCUAGUACGAGAGGACCGGAGUGGACGCAUCACUGGUGUUCGGGUUGUCAUGCCAAUGGCACUGCCCGGUAGCUAAAUGCGGAAGAGAUAAGUGCUGAAAGCAUCUAAGCACGAAACUUGCCCCGAGAUGAGUUCUCCCUGACUCCUUGAGAGUCCUGAAGGAACGUUGAAGACGACGACGUUGAUAGGCCGGGUGUGUAAGCGCAGCGAUGCGUUGAGCUAACCGGUACUAAUGAACCGUGAGGCUUAACCUU